UAUAAAGGAUAAAAUUUGGGUCUUAAAGUAUACUAGCUUUUGACUUAAAGUAUACUAGCUUUUGAAAGGAAAAGAGCAAUAUCAGCAGAAUUGAUAUUGCUCUUUUCCUUUUCAGAGUCUUUUUAUAUAUAUAUUUAUACAUAAAUAGUGGGUUUACUAUAAUAUUCUUUAAGCAUUCUUUAUUUCAACAUAAGAAAAAAAUUGGAGUUUUGUAUUUCGGAAUGUAAAAAAAAUGAAUGUCCCCCCCCUUUUUUUUCUUAUUUUUUCUUAGAAGACGAGUAAAAACUUAGAARAAAAAAAUAUGARAACGAAACAGUACAAAKGGAAGUCYCGGUAAUUUUCACAUAARAWAGGGGCGGAUGUAGCCAAGUGGAUCAAGGCAGUGGAUU
This 389-nucleotide unclassified non-coding RNA is filed under the name Pultenaea retusa. RNAcentral describes it as "partial miscellaneous RNA". The record is from RNAcentral. Lineage: Eukaryota; Viridiplantae; Streptophyta; Magnoliopsida; Fabales; Fabaceae.